Non-coding RNA from Anas platyrhynchos (mallard), 4668 nucleotides. The record is from RefSeq and is a predicted model, not a curated record. Lineage: Eukaryota; Metazoa; Chordata; Aves; Anseriformes; Anatidae.
GCUCUUGCCUCUUUUUAGUUGCAUCAGAUAGUCAGCAUGCUGUGGUUGAUUGCCUCACAUUUACCCAGCAGGCACAAAAAAGCUUCUGCUUUUUCUGUAGUCUAUGAAAACCACAGAGAAGGGCCUGGUGUUUUCUUGUUGCCUUAUAGUACUGGACCUUGAACACUUGAGUGAUGUGUCUAACAGUUGGAAAUGGCUCUCAUUUUCCAACCGUCUUUUCCUGCAUCAUUCCAGCAGUUAUGAAGUAACACAAAACAGGCCUACAACAUCUGCAAUGAAUACCAUGUGUUCACAGCUGUGAUCAGAGAAUGAGGCAUCUCAGAGAGUUCUUCACUGAUUCCUGGAGAAGGUUGCCUGUUCCCCAAUACAAUAUUUAUGCCUAAUGCAUUACACACAAGGCACCAGAAGAGCUGAAGCGCAUCAGCAACCAAAAAAGAAAAGCUGCAAAAUAACAAAUUAAAAAAAUAACAAAUAAAAGCUGCACUUAACAGCUUGCUAUUUACCUCUGCUUGGGCCACAUCAAAGCAACCUCUCAUAAUGCUUUACAGUGUGACAACAGAAGGCUCACACAGUAACGCCAAUGUAUUGGCCAGAAAAGAGGUGCACAAUCAGAGCUUUACUUCCGGAACUUAAACAGUUUAAUUUAUUAAGUACACCAUAGUCAAGGAGUCAUUGUUUUCCAUCAACACAAACUGCAAAAACACCUGGCUGGCAUCCCAGGCACAGACUAUCCUUGUUGGAUACUUGAACAAGCAAACAAGCCGCUGCACAACUGCUUCUCUAUCCUGUUGAUCACAGAUGCGUUCAAUACAGUCCAUGUAAGAAAUCUCAAAGACUUGUUGAAUUUUAUACUCACAAUGCUUGGAGAGAAGGCCUCUGUAAGGAAUGUUAUCUUUACCAUGGAUAACAUCCCAGGAUGUAGAAGAGGCACAGGAGGCUUUCACUAGUUAACUCAAAAGAAGCCAUUUCAGGAGUUUACUGAAGUAGCUGUGAAGAUAUCUACCAAACAGUUCCUGACAUGGGACUGGUAAAACCAGAAGACAGGUCAUGGAGAAGCAUUAGUAGCAGGGAUUAUUCGAAGCCAAUUGCAAGAUGAAGGAGAAAGAAGAGCUAACAAAUGAGAAAGGAUGGAAACAAGCUCACAGGAGAGGAGGCAACAGAGCUGUGGUUUUUGUUUUUGUUUUUUUCUGAAGCAUAUGAUUCACAAUGUGUCUGAGAUUUCAAAACUUCUUUCUAACAAAGAUGAACAAGGACCCUCUAGAACAUCUCUACAACCGUCAGAUUAAGUUCUGUUUCUGGAAUAUCCUGUCCUGUUGAAUUUACUGUAGUGGAGAAACAACUAGCUUAAAAUGUUGAAUUCAUUACAAGGAAAAUGAAAAUCUAACCUUUUUGUAAGAUUUCUCACCUGUAAUCUCUGGAGUCUUCAUAAUAUCUCCAGGUAGCUAAACUAGGUGCUUCAGCUUUCUGUUGUAUUGUAAAUUGUUUUCUUUGUCUUCUCAUAGUACAACAGUUUGAAAGAGAUGAGACCAAGUGCCUGAGACACAUGAACACGAAUCACCACGUGCCUCCCUCAUUGACAUUUCCGUAUCACUGGAAGCAAACUUCAGCUUUUCAAGAUAUUGUUGGAGACACUACUUUAAUGUUUUUAGUCUCUUAGCACCUUUGUGGACAGUCCCAGUAGCAUUCCCAUUUUAUGACUCUGGAUUCUGUUCACAUAUAAGCAGGAAAACAGUUACCGAUGAAAGAAUAUUCAGGAAGUCUUUAAAAAUUUAACUCCAAUACAGUUUAAGUCCUCACAGACUUCGACGAAAGUUGAAGUUUCCCAUCUGAAUAUGCUUUGCUUUUUAUGCAAAUUAACAUUUUUUGAAAUAUUCAUAGUAAUACUAGCAAAAGUAAUUUUAACUACAGAUAUACCUCCAUAGUUCUGUGAAAAUGCCAGUCUACUUAGAAGUGGUUUUGGUAGAUUAAACCACUAAUUCUUCCAAUACAUUGAAACUAAUCUUAAAUGGGAGGGGGGUUAGGCAACACCAAAAACUACAACAACAAAAACCACAAUGGAGUAAAAGGAAAGAAGAUGAGAUGUUCUUCUCACCUUUUUGAAAGCCUAGAAAAAGGUUCUUCUUGACAUUUCUUAUCAUAGGUGAGAUGGGGAUUUAUCCUAGAAAAUAUGUUUAGCGGUUGCAUGCCUUAAGAAAACACUACUUAGAAUUACAAUCUAUAAUUGCUUAAUCUGAUGUUUGCAUAUAAAAGUCAGUCAAGCAUUCAAGCUAACCACAAGAAUAAUAGUUAAACACAUGCAAAUAUUUCUUUUCAACAUCACAAAAAUUUCAGAACCCCCUAAAAAUUCCAGAGUCAGAAGAACAUAUUCUAGAGUUUGCAAUUAGAACUCAUGGUUGGUAUGAUAAUUCCCUCUCAUUUGGGCUUUUUCUGCUUCUCACUUACAAGGCAGAGCUAAAAUUUCCCAUGUUUAAUUAACCUGAAAAAAAGAAUAACAACAACAAAGUAUUAAAACAAUAGCAUCUAGUCAUGCAAGAAUCCGGAGUUCUUUUGACUGUUCCAAGCAAAGUUACUAUUUUCCUGCACUAAUCUCUUGCUUUCUGUCAUUAGGUAGACAAAUUUGUGUCAUUAGAUUAAGUAUUACCCACUACUAAAGCUAGAGAAUAUUUUUGUUAAAAAGCUGGUAUUUCCUGAGGUAUUGAUGCCUGUCUGCUCAAAUCUGAAAUUACAAGUAAAUUGGUAAUCAGAUAUAGAGCACACCCACGAACAGACAAGGACUACAUUAAACAGCAUAAAAAUUAAUACAACUGAGGCUUAGGACAGAGGAAAUAAUCGCCAAGGCUAAACCCAAAUCAGCCCUAGUCCCUUGAGAUCUUCUAGACUGCCCUUUAUGGAUUAAUAGAUUGAUCAAUUAACGUAGUAAAGUCCACUAUAACAGUUGCAGUUUUUGUUUGGUUAGUUGAUUGCUUUUUGUACAUAUUUUAAACAAAAUUAAAUGUUUUAAAAAUCUCCAAGAGCACUAGACACCUUACACUCAAACAAGAAUACAAGACUUCCCUGUCCCCUCCCUGCCAAGUUUAUAUGUCAGUCCGAAAUACCAUGAUGAGCUAUGCAUAAGGGAAAGCCGCCUUCUUACAGAUUGCCUCAUAGAUUCUUCAGGGUAUAUCUCUCAGCCAAGAGUAUCUGCUCCCAACUAUCAACUGUCUCAUCGCUUCUGUUUGAGCAAGAGAUGCAAUGUUGCAAUUAUUUUCUUCAAAUGUAAUCAGGGCAGGUUUCUCUCAGGCCUGCUCCAAUGUUGUACCCAUACACAUACAUUCUCUCACACACACACUAAAGUAGAAAAGUUGAAGGCUCAGCAGGGAAGCUCAGAAGCCUGUCUAUGCUCAUCCUGCAACCCAAACCCAAAAGGUUUUCAAACACAUUUGUUAAGCAGUAGUGAGACUGGCUCUCUCUACCAGUCUGUCUCAACACACUUGCACAUGCACACACACGUGAUGAAUACACAUGCUUAAAAAGGGUGGCCAAGAAGUAAAAGUCACUUUCAUAAGAGUGUUAUGGACUUCAAACUUAUUAAGUUAUAUUUCUCUAGGAAUUUACUAAAGAUAAUCACAUGGGCAGAGGUCACCUGCUUAUGCUUUAUGGCUUCAAAUAUCCAAGCAUUCCUUGAUAAUCAAUAAAAUAGAGAUCCUAUGCUAUACAAAGAAAGAUGACCAAAUACAGGUGACAAGGACAACUAUCUUAUGACUUUCUUUCACCUCCUCUACCCUACACAACAGACGAUCUUCCAACAUAAAGGAUGCCUUCCUGACAGUGUGCAUUCUUUGGCAAAAUACCCCUCUCUUUCUAGGGUCAAGAUCACACCCGAUAUUUAAGCCACAUGGAUAUAAUUUAAGACACUUCUAAUAGGUCAACUUAGUUUUGUGAAAUCAUAGCAGCAUCAGUGCUAUUGCUAAAGCUGAAAUUGAUAACCUCUGGGUAAACAUUGAGUAUUGACCUUCAUAUGUAUCAUUCUUCCCUUUAAUACACCCAAGUGUGUCACAAAGUAAUGAUUAACGCAGCUGUCACAGCAACAGGCAGCUGGGAGAAGCUGACUUGUUUUAAAACAGCAGUCUUAACACAGGCCUCUUAUGGUAAAACUACAAGCCUGUCCUUCAGUUCACAGUCAAUGAAACUAGGUGCAUCGUGGCUAAAGACGAUGUGUUGAGCAAAAUGUUUGUAAGAGGAGAUGGUCAUACUUCUUUAUGAGCUUUGCUUAUUUCAGUAAGAGCACCUUUACACCCUUUGUUUGGGGUCUUCCUCUGCAGAUUUCAGAGUGGUUGAAGCCUGACAACGUACAAAUAUAUAGGAAAAGCAGAUGAGGAGGUGCCUUAGAGCACUGUCUAAGAUAGUAUAGCACAUUCCAAAAUUUCUCUUCCAUUCCAAGCUGGAAGUUGCUCAGCAUCAUUGGCACUUGUUUCAGUUUCAGCAAGACAUCGGCCUGCUUUGAAGACUAUGAAAACCAGAUCAGGCUCAAAAUAAGAACGGACAGAGGAAGGACUCCUUAUCCACCUGAAAAAGACGCAGCUUCUGUAUUAAUCAACAGGAAAAUGCAAGUUGUUACCACAUCUGAUAAUGUCCUGUAAGCACAACCAAUUUGAGAAUUGAUUCCAAAAUAAACCUCUAGAUAACUUC